GACGUAGGAUGCAAGCGUUGUCCGGAUUUAUUGGGCGUAAAGAGUUCGUAGGUGGUUUGUUAAGUCUGAUGUUAAAGACUGGGGCUCAACCUCGGGACUGCAUUGGAUACUGGCAGACUUGAGUGCGGUAGAGGCAAGUGGAAUUCCAGGUGUAGCGGUGAAAUGCGUAGAUAUCUGGAGGAACACCUGUGGUGUAGACAGCUUACUGGACCAUUUCUGACGCUGAGACACGAAAGCGUGGGUAGCAAACAGG
Molecule: ribosomal RNA, 253 nt
Filed under: uncultured bacterium
Lineage: Bacteria
Description: partial 16S ribosomal RNA
Rfam family: Bacterial small subunit ribosomal RNA
Source: RNAcentral